ACCAUACAGGUCCUUGUGGAUGUCGUGGAAGUCCUUGGUAACACUAUGCAGGUCUUUAAGGAUGUCGUACAAGUCUUGAGGACACGAUACAGGUUUUUGAGAACACCAUAAAUAUGUCAUCGAGGUCCCUCUGGAUACGAUACAGGUCUUUAAGGAAACAUGCUUGAGGACACUUGAGUUCCUUGAGGAUGUUGUAGAGGUCCUUGAGGUCCUUAAGAAUGUCGUAGAGGUCUUUGAGGACACUAUACAGGUUCCUGAGGAUGUUUCGUAGGUCCUUGAGGACGCUAAACAACAACAUGCUUAAGGAUCUGUCAGUGUCCUUGAAGAGCUUUGGAACAUUUUUAAGGACCAACAUGCUGCAAAGGUCCUUGAGGACCUGGUAGUGGUUCUUGAGGACUUGGUCCCUCAGGAUACGAUACAAGUCUUUAAGGUGUUUGUAAGCAUGCUUGAGGACACUUGAGUUUCUUGAGGAUGUUACAGAGGUGCUUGAGGUCCUUAAGAAUGUUGUAGAAGUCUGUGAGGACAUUAUAUGGUUCUUGAGGAUGUUACGUAGGUCCUUGAGGACAACAUGCUUAAUGUCCUUGAAGAGCUUUGGAACAUUUUUAAGGACCAACAUGCUGCAGAGGUCUUUGAGGACCUGAUAAAGUUCCAGGUGAUGGUGAAGGUCCUCAAGGUUCCUGUGGUCUUUGGGAUCCUGAACAGGGUUGUAGAGGCGCUCGGCUGUAUUAAGGAGGACCUGAGGGGAUGUUCUGAGGUCCUUGAGGAUGUUUUAGAGGUCCUUGAGUGAGCAGACUGCUAACGGAGCCUGAACCAUCCCUCCUGUUGCCAUGGUUACCUGCGGUUUAAUAUAUUUAGAGGUCUGAUGUUGAGCUGCAGCUUAUCGACCUGAACUCUGGUCCAAGUUUCCACGUGUUUGAUUCCAGCAGCUCUGGACUCUCUGCAGCCACGUUGUGUCUCUGGUUGUUGUUUUUGCUCGACUUCUGCCGUCUGUUGUGGGUUUUAUGACGUUGUUCAGAUUUCUAUAUGAAACUACGACACGCUGAGCUUCUGCUCUCUCACCAAACCGUCCUGUUGUCGUCCAGCUGAUUGAUGUUUUCUCACGUUUCCAGGAUAAUGAACAGUUUCUAUUUUAAACUCUGUUUUCUACUGACUUCAGCGUCCGGUCGGAAAAACACGCGACUGCAAAGAAAGAAACGAAUCAGAAUUUCUACGAGCAACAAAAAUGAUACGAAUGAAGCAGAAAAGAAAAACGUCUUUGUUGCGGUUACGUGUUUCGUUUUUUGUUUGAUGAUUCAGAAACUUUCAACAACAACAAAAAAAAUCCUGUCGGGGAGCAAAUAUUUAUUUUUUGAACUUGAACGAGGCUUUUGACGCCUCUGAUGAUUCUAUUUUUGUACAAAUGUAUAGAAGUUGUUGUUAUUGAUAUCCUGAGACGUGUGUUUGACCUGUUUGGUUUGUUCGGACACUUCCUGUCUAUUUAUUAUGAAAAUCUUCUGUUUACUUCCUUCGCUCUGUUCUGCUGUGUUCACAUGUUUGUGUCAAUAUACCAGUGAUGAAAUGUU
Stegastes partitus (bicolor damselfish) is the source of this 1562-nucleotide long non-coding RNA. RefSeq lists it as uncharacterized. The transcript has 2 exons. NCBI's taxonomy places the organism in Eukaryota, Metazoa, Chordata, Actinopteri, Pomacentridae. The record is from RefSeq and is a predicted model, not a curated record.